RNAcentral lists this ribosomal RNA (500 nucleotides) under uncultured bacterium. RNAcentral's name for it is "partial 16S ribosomal RNA". It matches the Rfam family "Bacterial small subunit ribosomal RNA", at positions 30 to 523 of the family's 1533-position model. The record is from RNAcentral.
AUUGAACGCUGGCGGAAUGCUUUACACAUGCAAGUCGAACGGCAGCACGGACUUCGGUCUGGUGGCGAGUGGCGAACGGGUGAGUAAUGUAUCGGAACGUGCCCAGUCGUGGGGGAUAACGUAGUGAAAAUUACGCUAAUACCGCAUACGAUCUAUGGAUGAAAGCGGGGGAUCGCAAGACCUCGCGCGAUUGGAGCGGCCAAUAUCAGAUUAGGUAGUUGGUGGGGUAAAGGCCCACCAAGCCAACGAUCUGUAGCUGGUCGGAGAGGACGACCAGCCACAAUUGAACUGAGACACGGACCAAGCUCCUACGGGAUGCAGCAGUGGGGAAUUUUGGACAAUGUGCGAAAGCCUUAUCCUGCCAUUCCGCGUGCAGGAUGAAGGCCCUCGGGUUGUAAACUGCUUUUGUACAGAACGAAAAGGUUUCUACUAAUACUAGGAGCUCAUGACGGUACUGUAAGAAUAAGCACCGGCUAACUACGUGCCAGCCGCCGCCGUAA